CCUACGGGAGGCAGCAGUGGGGAAUAUUGGGCAAUGGGCGCAAGCCUGACCCAGCAACGCCGCGUGAAUGAAGAAGGCUUUCGGGUUGUAAACUUCUUUUCUCAGGGACGAAGCAAGUGACGGUACCUGAGGAAUAAGCCACUGCUAACUACCUGCCAGCCGCCGCGUUAAUACGUAGGUGGCAAUCGUUAUCCUGUUUUACUGGGUGUAAAGGGCGAGUAGGCGGGAAAGCAAGUCAGAUGUGAAAACCAUGGGCUCAACCUGUGGACUGCAUUUGAAACUGUGUUUCUUGAGUGCUGGGGAGGCAGACGGAAUUCCUAGUGUAGCGGUGAAAUGCGUAGAUAUUAGGAGGAACACCAGUGGCGAAGGCGGUCUGCUGGACAGCAACUGACGCUGAGGCGCGAAAGCGUGGGGAGCAAACAGGAUUAGAUACCCUUGUAGUC
Molecule: ribosomal RNA, 443 nt
Filed under: uncultured bacterium
Lineage: Bacteria
Description: partial 16S ribosomal RNA
Rfam family: Bacterial small subunit ribosomal RNA
Source: RNAcentral